UACGAAGGGGGCUAGCGUUGUUCGGAUUUACUGGGCGUAAAGCGCACGUAGGCGGAUUGCUAAGUCAGGGGUGAAAUCCUGGAGCUCAACUCCAGAACUGCCUUUGAUACUGGUGAUCUUGAGUCCGGGAGAGGUGAGUGGAACUGCGAGUGUAGAGGUGAAAUUCGUAGAUAUUCGCAAGAACACCAGUGGCGAAGGCGGCUCACUGGCCCAUUACUGACGCUGAGGCGCGAAAGCUAGGGGAGCAAACGGG
This 253-nucleotide ribosomal RNA is filed under the name uncultured bacterium. RNAcentral's name for it is "partial 16S ribosomal RNA". It matches the Rfam family "Bacterial small subunit ribosomal RNA", at positions 524 to 776 of the family's 1533-position model. The record is from RNAcentral.